Molecule: unclassified non-coding RNA, 222 nt
Filed under: Pseudomonas indica
Lineage: Bacteria; Pseudomonadati; Pseudomonadota; Gammaproteobacteria; Pseudomonadales; Pseudomonadaceae
Description: Pseudomonas sRNA P29
Source: RNAcentral
AAGCUACUGGGGGAGCCGAAGCUCCCCCCCAAGUAGGUGCGUGCUUUGUUUUUGUUAUGGUAUCGGGCCUGUUGUUUUUGUUGUCCGGCCCGUCCCUCGAAGCCUUGGCCUGUUGGGAAGGUUCCCAGAGGGGGAACCAAUAGCAAACGGAUUGCUUUGGACGCUGACGAUGCCAUGAUCAUUCCGUGACCCAACCAGUUCAGGCGCUGCCUUGGGGCAGUU